GGCUGUGGCUCAGUGGUAGAGCACUUGCCUCGCAUGUAUGAAGCACUGGGUUCGAUCCUUGGCGCCA
RNAcentral lists this transfer RNA (67 nucleotides) under Marmota monax (woodchuck). It matches the Rfam family "tRNA". Rfam says of the family: Transfer RNA (tRNA) molecules are approximately 80 nucleotides in length. Their secondary structure includes four short double-helical elements and three loops (D, anti-codon, and T loops). Further hydrogen bonds mediate the characteristic L-shaped molecular structure. tRNAs have two regions of fundamental functional importance: the anti-codon, which is responsible for specific mRNA codon recognition, and the 3' end, to which the tRNAs corresponding amino acid is attached (by aminoacyl-tRNA synthetases). tRNAs cope with the degeneracy of the genetic code in two manners: having more than one tRNA (with a specific anti-codon) for a particular amino acid; and 'wobble' base-pairing, i.e. permitting non-standard base-pairing at the 3rd anti-codon position. The record is from Rfam by way of RNAcentral. Lineage: Eukaryota; Metazoa; Chordata; Mammalia; Rodentia; Sciuridae.